This 483-nucleotide ribosomal RNA is filed under the name uncultured bacterium. RNAcentral's name for it is "partial 16S ribosomal RNA". It matches the Rfam family "Bacterial small subunit ribosomal RNA", at positions 30 to 506 of the family's 1533-position model. The record is from RNAcentral.
AUUGAACGCUGGCGGCAGGCCUAACACAUGCAAGUCGAGCGGAUGAAGGGAGCUUGCUCCUGGAUUCAGCGGCGGACGGGUGAGUAAUGCCUAGGAAUCUGCCUGGUAGUGGGGGAUAACGUCCGGAAACGGGCGCUAAUACCGCAUACGUCCUGAGGGAGAAAGUGGGGGAUCUUCGGACCUCACGCUAUCAGAUGAGCCUAGGUCGGAUUAGCUAGUUGGUGGGGUAAAGGCCUACCAAGGCGACGAUCCGUAACUGGUCUGAGAGGAUGAUCAGUCACCCGGAAACGGACAAACGGCCCAGACCCCCAGGGGAGGCAGCAGGGGGAAAUUUGGGAAAAGGGGCGAAAGCCUGAUCCAGCCAUGCCGCGUGUGUAAAAAAGGUCUUCGGUUUGUAAAGCACUUUAAGUUGGGGGGAAGGGAAGUAAGUUAAUACCUUUCUUUUUUGACUUUACCAACAGAAUAAGCACGGGCUAACUUCGU